UUAGUCUCACCCAAUUUCUGUUCCACAAAAUCCGGUUUCUACUUCCCAUAUUCCAUGAAAUCGGUUUCUACACCUAUAUCUCCCAUGAUCCCACGUUCAUCACUCCCAUUCAGUCAAUCAACAUCUUUUUAUUUCAACCAAUUUCACAAUUAUCACAAUCCUUUUCACCACUUCCGUAGUUGUGAAGAAACAGAGAAAAACGAGAGAGAGUUAGAAAAGAGAGGGGGGGGGCGGCAGUGGUGCAGUGUUGAGAAGCAGGCUGCGCAAGCUCCAGCAGCGAGGACGGCGGCGUGGUUCCGAACGGAGCGAUAGUGGCGGCAGCAGCGCGAACCGGAGGAGAUGUCUGACCGAGGGCAGCGCUGCAGCGAAAUUCGUCGCACAGCAGACACGGUGGCGGUGACUGCUCAGUGGCGGCGGCCAACGGACAACAGCGGCUUAACAGCGAGCCGAACCAGUGAGGGUAGCGGCGAUGGCUGCUCGGAACAGCGACGGUGAUGGCUGCUAGGUACAUCAGCUGCGUCGUGACAGAGGGCGGACACCCGGUGGCGAAUUGAGGUCGGAGAUAGCGGAGUGAGAUACAACCAUGGCUGUUGUUUCAGAAAGCAACUCGGAGGGAGGCGAUGGAUUUGAUGUCGCUCAAUUUUGGGUUUCUGCAUUUGGGGAUUUCUCAAUUUGGGGAGGAAAAAGAAGAUAGACCGAUGGUGGAGAAGGGAGUAUGUGGUUUUGUUUUCAAAAAUUGAUUGGGCUACUAAUUGGGCUCACAAAUUAAUUUGAAGACCUAUAGUUGGGCUGGGUGAGUAAGGAAGAAAUAAGGGUCUUGGGCUGAUUUUUUUUGGUUUUGGAUCAAUUAAUUGCAGAUUUAGAAUUUUAUUCCACCGGGGACUAGUGUGGCCAAUGGAAAUGGGAGUAUAUCUUGGGGCUGCUACUUUUUAUACUUUUUGGUUCAAGUAAUAGCAUAAAUGGAAGUGUUGGGUUGGGUUUUUUUUUUAGUUGAUUGACCAGUUGUGAAGGAGAGGAAAUCUUGGGCUGGAGAAUUUUAUAUCAAGGAUUUCGAAUCGGCACGUGUUUUAAGUUAAUUGGGCAAGCUGGAUAUGUGAUGCGGGCUAAAUUUAUGAGUAACACGCGAGGUUUUCUGAAUUUUUUUUCAAGAAAGAUCGAAGGGGGAUCAUUUUUUGGCAUGCUAUUUGAGAACGGAAUGGAAAGACAAGUUGAGGAGUUAAACAAUUGAGCAUUGUUAUCUUCCUGUCUGAUAUGUCUGGAAGAUCGCCAUUGUACAAAAAGUAUGUCAAAUGUUUUAUUCUUUCUUUCGUAGGUGUUCCUCUACAUUUUUAUGGAAUAGUUUUUACAUUUCCUGAGUUAUAUGAGGCUAUUGUUAUAGAAAAUAAUUGGGCUCAUCAUCUCUUUGUUUCCUAUACUUUUUUAUCUUUUUUCUGCCGUUGGGGCCUUUGUCUUCUUCGGUUCACCUGUUUCCCGCGAAUUGGUUGCCCAAAUAAAGAAGGAUGGAAGUGUGUUACCUCGCAUUGGUGCCUUAAGAGAGAUGAACUUGGAAUAUUUCGCAAUAGAUAGCCAGGGUUUCAUCACUGACAAUGAGAGAGCACUUGAGGAUCUCUUCGGGGACGAAGAAAGCUCUCGCAGAGGUGAUGCAUGUGAUGGGGACACGAAUAGCUACAGUGCUUGCUUCUUUGAGGGAUUUUCCAAAUGUGCGUUACCGUGCUGCUAAGUCCCUUGCUACAAUGACUACUUUUCGUGAUCUAAUUCCUACAAAGCUUGCUGCUUCUGUUUGGAAUAAUCUGAUGAAAUACAAAGCCAACCUUCCUAACUUUCCCCAAGCGGAGACAUGCGAGCUUCUUAUCUUAGAUAGAUCAGUAGACCAGGUAUGUAGUAUCAAUUCCAUGCCCACUCUCGAGAGUUCCACUGUAAUUUUUAUUGUAUAAUAUACUUGUAUUUCUUGCUCCAGUUAUACAUGAAUGGACAUAUGAUGCGAUAUGCCAUGAUUUACUAAAUAUGGAUGGAAAUAAAUACAUCCAUGAGGUAGUGUCUCUUAGA
Salvia splendens (bonfire salvia) is the source of this 2046-nucleotide long non-coding RNA. RefSeq lists it as uncharacterized. The transcript has 6 exons. Lineage: Eukaryota; Viridiplantae; Streptophyta; Magnoliopsida; Lamiales; Lamiaceae. The record is from RefSeq and is a predicted model, not a curated record.